This 766-nucleotide long non-coding RNA is filed under the name Panax ginseng (ginseng). RNAcentral's name for it is "long non-coding RNA (PGIN_LNC018516)". Lineage: Eukaryota; Viridiplantae; Streptophyta; Magnoliopsida; Apiales; Araliaceae. The record is from RNAcentral.
UCCUCUCAUUCCUGAAUUGAGAAUCCAGAAGUAAACACAUUAGGGUUUCUCAAACUUGAUAUUACACUUCAAAUCUCGGGACACCAACAAUGAAAAAAAUAAUAACAACCAAAUCAAAUCAAAUGCCCUGGUCCGAAAUUUAGGGUUUGUCAAACUUCCCUACUCGGAUAGGGUUUCUCAAAACUUGGUAAUGCUACAGGUAAAGAAAUUAAAAAUCACUUCAAAUUUUCAAACACCAAAACAUAUUCUAGUUUAAAAUCCGAAUUCUAAACAUGAUUAGGGUUCCUAAACUUGGGAAAACCCAAAGAACUCCAGAAACACAUCAAACCCUCAAACCCCAUAUUUCCCAAAAUACACAUUUUGAUCUAAAAUCCCAUUUUUCAAGCCAAAAUUAGGGCUUCCUCCUCCCGCAAGUGAAGGAAACUAAAGCAGAAACACAAAACAAACAACGGAAAUAGUUUACAGUUUUUGAGUCAGUGAUUGUACCUUCAAAUCAAAACGGCGAAUCUCAUAAGCUGAUUAGGGUUUUCUUCUGAUGAAAAUCGCUAAUGAAGACUGCUAGUAACCGACUUUGAGCUUCAAACACAACGAACAAAUAGCGAAAUGAAGAUUAAAGCGACCGAAAAAGAGAGACUGGAGCGAAAUCCAUAAAAAAAUAGGAACAAUUCAGAGAUAAAAGCAAAGAACAAAAGUAUACGGAGAAUAAGAAAAUCUUUUGGGAGUUGAAGAGAGAAGAUUGGGGCGAAAAUGCGAUGAGAGUGAAGAG